UACGGGGGGAGCAAGCGUUGUUCAGAUUUACUGGGCGUAAAGGGCGCGUAGGCGGCCAGCACAAGUCAGUUGUGAAAUCUCCGAGCUUAACUCGGAAAGGUCAACUGAUACUGUGCGGCUAGAGUGCAGAAGGGGCAACUGGAAUUCCUGGUGUAGCGGUGAAAUGCGCAGAUAUCAGGAGGAACACCGGUGGCGAAGGCGGGUCUCUGGGCCGAUACUGACGCUGAGGAGCGAAAGCGUGGGGAGCGAACAGG
RNAcentral lists this ribosomal RNA (254 nucleotides) under uncultured bacterium. RNAcentral's name for it is "partial 16S ribosomal RNA". It matches the Rfam family "Bacterial small subunit ribosomal RNA", at positions 524 to 776 of the family's 1533-position model. The record is from RNAcentral.